RNAcentral lists this ribosomal RNA (253 nucleotides) under uncultured bacterium. RNAcentral describes it as "partial 16S ribosomal RNA". It matches the Rfam family "Bacterial small subunit ribosomal RNA", at positions 524 to 776 of the family's 1533-position model. The record is from RNAcentral.
UACGUAGGGUGCAAGCGUUGUCCGGAAUUAUUGGGCGUAAAGAGCUCGUAGGCGGUCUGUUGCGUCGGCUGUGAAAACCCGAGGCUCAACCUCGGGCCUGCAGCCGAUACGGGCAGACUAGAGUUCGGCAGGGGAGACUGGAAUUCCUGGUGUAGCGGUGAAAUGCGCAGAUAUCAGGAGGAACACCGGUGGCGAAGGCGGGUCUCUGGGCCGAUACUGACGCUGAGGAGCGAAAGCGUGGGGAGCGUACAGG